CAGUAGCCGCGGUAAUACGAAGGGUGCAAGCGUUACUCGGAAUUACUGGGCGUAAAGCGUGCGUAGGCGGCUUUUUAAGUCGGAUGUGAAAUCCCUGAGCUUAACUUAGGAAUUGCAUUCGAUACUGGGAAGCUAGAGUAUGGGAGAGGAUGGUAGAAUUCCAGGUGUAGCGGUGAAAUGCGUAGAGAUCUGGAGGAAUACCGAUGGCGAAGGCAGCCAUCUGGCCUAAUACUGACGCUGAGGUACGAAAGCAUGGGGAGCAAACAGGAUUAGAUACCCCUGUAGUCCCUGUCUCUUAUAC
This 301-nucleotide ribosomal RNA is filed under the name uncultured bacterium. RNAcentral describes it as "partial 16S ribosomal RNA". It matches the Rfam family "Bacterial small subunit ribosomal RNA", at positions 509 to 807 of the family's 1533-position model. The record is from RNAcentral.